This is a long non-coding RNA of Nematostella vectensis (starlet sea anemone), 667 nucleotides long. RefSeq lists it as uncharacterized. The record is from RefSeq and is a predicted model, not a curated record. The transcript is spliced from 2 exons. NCBI's taxonomy places the organism in Eukaryota, Metazoa, Cnidaria, Anthozoa, Actiniaria, Edwardsiidae.
AUUGGCUGGAAUUUUUUUCAUUGUGUUGGAACUCACUCAAAACCAUUUUUGAUUGGCUAACUCACUUGGAAACCACCGCGGAAACUAUCGACAAAAGUAUAAAAGGGUCUGUACCUCCCCCAACGGUCUUCUUUCGUUUGCCUUCACUAGAGUCUCAGUACUUGCAUCGGAGUUUACGAAGGAAUUAGUUAACAAAUUGCACUAGUUUUUACUCUUUAUGGCUCGUGCUCCUGUCUGUCGGAAGGAGGAUUGUUCUCCCUACGACAUUGGCUUAGUCUUCGACAAGAUCGCCAGCUAUUCGCCUCAGGACAAGUUGAAAUUCAUCGAAAAUGUAUGGAAACCAGAGCUCCAGUUACUGCAGUCCCCAAGGAUGAAAAAGGGGAGUUUUUAUUCAAAUUAUAUUGUCUAUAAUUUGUACAUAUCUUUUGUAUAUGACAUAUGAUAUUAAUAUUGGAUUUUUUUUUUCUUAUUAUCUUGAAAACUCCUGGACCAAGGACCAACCACAGGCUUGUCAUCUAUAAGUACCAUUUUUCCUUCUCCUGCUCAAAGACAGUAGGCAGCUAUAUUGGACAUAGACCAGUGGCACCGGUUUGGAUACCAGAAACUUUUUGUAGAGCAAGGUGUUCCAUGUACCACCUUCAACAAAAUAAAACUUUUUUUGCCUUUA